This 285-nucleotide small nuclear RNA is filed under the name Jaculus jaculus (lesser Egyptian jerboa). RNAcentral describes it as "7SK RNA (ENSJJAG00000008948.1)". It matches the Rfam family "7SK RNA". From Rfam's summary of the family: 7SK was discovered as an abundant small nuclear RNA in the mid-70s but a possible function has only recently been suggested. Two independent studies have found that 7SK RNA binds the CDK9/cyclin T complex (known as elongation factor P-TEFb). Lineage: Eukaryota; Metazoa; Chordata; Mammalia; Rodentia; Dipodidae. The record is from Rfam by way of RNAcentral.
GAAUGUGAGGGCAAUCUGGCUGCAAAUUCUGUCAGACCAUUGACCUCCAGGGUUGAUUUGGCUGAUAUGGGUGGCUAUGCAGGUAUCUGCUUUCUCCCUCACCACUUUUAUGUGUCCCUCCUGAAGUUGCAUGCUCAGUUGAAGAGGAUGACCUUCCCCCAAUAGUGGAGGUCCAGUCUUUUGUCAAGAGUAUACAAAUAGCUGUGCUCCCCUUCUAGAGCCCCAAAACUCUCAAGGUCCUGUCAGGUGGACAACCAGAGAUUUAUCAUCACAAGUCCACCCCUU